This 218-nucleotide ribosomal RNA is filed under the name uncultured prokaryote. RNAcentral's name for it is "partial 16S ribosomal RNA". It matches the Rfam family "Bacterial small subunit ribosomal RNA", at positions 561 to 774 of the family's 1533-position model. The record is from RNAcentral.
CCCUAUGGGGUGCAGCAGGCGGAUUAAUCAGUCAGUGGUGAAAUCCUACGGCUCCACUGUCGAACUGCCAUUGAUACUGUUAGUCUUGAGUAUUGUUGAGGUAGGCGGAAUGUGUCAUGUAGCGGUGAAAUGCUUAGAUAUGAUACAGAACACCAAUCGCGAAGGCAGCUUACCAAGCAAUAACUGACGCUCAUGCACGAAAGCGUGGGGAUCAAACA